Molecule: ribosomal RNA, 164 nt
Filed under: uncultured bacterium
Lineage: Bacteria
Description: partial 16S rRNA
Rfam family: Bacterial small subunit ribosomal RNA
Source: RNAcentral
UAGGGAGUCUUCCACAAUGGGCGAAAGCCUGAUGGAGCAACGCCGCGUGUGUGAUGAAGGGUUUCGGCUCGUAAAACACUGUUGUAAGAGAAGAAUGACAUUGAGAGUAACUGUUCAAUGUGUGACGGUAUCUUACCAGAAAGGAACGGCUAAAUACGUGUCAG